RNAcentral lists this ribosomal RNA (464 nucleotides) under uncultured bacterium. RNAcentral describes it as "partial 16S ribosomal RNA". It matches the Rfam family "Bacterial small subunit ribosomal RNA", at positions 28 to 507 of the family's 1533-position model. The record is from RNAcentral.
GACGAACGCUGGCGGCGUGCUUAACACAUGCAAGUCGAACGGAAAGGCCCUGCUUGCAGGGUACUCGAGUGGCGAACGGGUGAGUAACACGUGGGUGAUCUGCCCUGCUCUUCGGGUUAAGCCUGGGAGACUGGGUCUAAUACCUGCUAGGUGCCAUUUUUAGUGGGAUGGUUGGAAAGUUUUUGCGGUGUUGGAUGAGCUCGAGGCCUAGCAGCUUGUUGGUUGGGUAAUGGCCUACCAAGUCGGCGACGGGUAGCCGGCCUGAGAGGGUGGACGGCGACCUUGGGACUAAGAUACGGCGCAGAAUCCUACGGGACGCAGCAGUGGGGAAUAUUGCACAAUGAGCGCAAGCCUGAUGCAGCGACCUCGCGUGGGGGAUGACGGCCUUCGGGUUGUAAACUACUUUCGCUAGGGACGAAGCUUUUGUGACGGUACCUAGAUAAGAAGCACCGGCUAACUACGUG